Molecule: transfer RNA, 71 nt
Filed under: Sphaerodactylus townsendi
Lineage: Eukaryota; Metazoa; Chordata; Lepidosauria; Squamata; Sphaerodactylidae
Description: tRNA-Ala
Source: RNAcentral
GGGCUGCGACUCAGUGGUAGAGCAAAUGCUUGGCAUGCAGAAGGUCCCAGGUUCAAGCCCUGGUAUCUCCA